UUACCUGGCCUUGACAUACUAAGAACUUUCCAGAGAUGGAUUGGUGCCUUCGGGAACUUAGAUACAGGUGCUGCAUGGCUGUCGUCAGCUCGUGUCGUGAGAUGUUGGGUUAAGUCCCGCAACGAGCGCAACCCUUUUCCUUAUUUGCCAGCGGGUUAAGCCGGGAACUUUAAGGAUACUGCCAGUGACAAACUGGAGGAAGGCGGGGACGACGUCAAGUCAUCAUGGCCCUUACGGCCAGGGCUACACACGUGCUACAAUGGUCGGUACAAAGGGUUGCUACCUCGCGAGAGGAUGCUAAUCUCAAAAAGCCGAUCGUAGUCCGGAUCGCAGUCUGCAACUCGACUGCGUGAAGUCGGAAUCGCUAGUAAUCGCGGAUCAGAAUGCCGCGGUGAAUACGUUCCCGGGCCUUGUACACACCGCCCGUCACACCAUGGGAGUUUGUUGCACCAGAAGUAGGUAGUCUAACCGCAAGGAGGACGCUUACCACGGUGUGGCCGAUGACUGGGGUGAAGUCGUAACAAGGUAGGCGUAGAUGA
This 539-nucleotide ribosomal RNA is filed under the name uncultured bacterium. Its description in RNAcentral is "bacterial SSU rRNA". It matches the Rfam family "Bacterial small subunit ribosomal RNA", at positions 971 to 1509 of the family's 1533-position model. The record is from RNAcentral.